This 924-nucleotide long non-coding RNA is filed under the name Fukomys damarensis (Damara mole-rat). Its description in RNAcentral is "lncRNA (ENSFDAG00000027784.1)". Lineage: Eukaryota; Metazoa; Chordata; Mammalia; Rodentia; Bathyergidae. The record is from RNAcentral.
UGAGUGAGUAGCAGGGAUGGGGCGGGCUGGUGCGGUAGGAGACUUGGAUUUAUUUAUUCUUUGGAUUCAGAGGCAGAAAGGGAGAUAAGCAGGAAGGUGAGAGAGAACCAUUUUAACCCAACAACUGGCGAAACAGGAGGCUGUAGCUGGUGGGACUGGGAGCAGAAUGCGGCCGGACCCCGUCCUGCUGCAGUAAUCUCGUGAUGCCGGCUCAGCCCAUAACUUGGGAGUCUGAUUACAAGUAAAGCGCCACUAAAGUUCAUCUCAUAAAAAUGCCGCGAGCUCACUUUGAUCAGCGCGGACUGGGUCCGGUGCCUGAGCAGGCGCUAAGCAGCCGGGGAAUGGCGGCUCCAGCCAAGCCAUCCGCCACUCCGCAGUGAGGCCGGAGACCCGGGUAGCCCAAGAGGGCAAUCUCUCCCGGAGAAGGGUUUUCUUCCUAGAUCAUGGCCUGUAGAGUGGGACCCUUUCCCCAUCAAAAUCUGCUCUCUAGCACCUGGAGUAGCAGGAGGAGGUAGGGGAGCUGCAAAACCACUCCAAUGGUGUGUGCAGGAGUUUGCCUGGAGCUGCCCAAGCCAAAUUCGGUAGAUACUGCCCCCUUCUGAAGCUGCCACUUUUGUCCCUGUGUGGGAAGUAAGGGCACUGGAGCCUGUCCUUUCUCUGGCCAGACCAUCAAGGCAGCCACCCAGACUGCAGCCGCCUGCUAAUGCCAGACAGGCAGCCGCAGGGACCAAGGCCACCAAGAGCCAGCAAGGAGGGCAAGAAAACCCUGUCAGGUGGUUUCAGGUGAAGGCUUGGACUCCAGGUGGACAGAGUGGCCACCAGGUGCCUACUAGCCAGCAGCAGCACAGCAAGCCAGACAAAGUUGGGACACUGGCUCACAGCUGGGCUGCCUCACCUUUGGGAAACUUCAGAUACUCUUCCGGG